RNAcentral lists this ribosomal RNA (510 nucleotides) under uncultured bacterium. Its description in RNAcentral is "partial 16S ribosomal RNA". It matches the Rfam family "Bacterial small subunit ribosomal RNA", at positions 28 to 507 of the family's 1533-position model. The record is from RNAcentral.
GACGAACGCUGGCGGAGGGAGGAACACAUGCGAGUCGAACGAAGAGCGAUGGAAGCUUGCUUCUAUCAAUCUUAGUGGCGAACGGGUGAGUAACGCGUAAUCAACCUGCCCUUCAGAGGGGGACAACAGUUGGAAACGACUGCUAAUACCGCAUACGAUCUAAUCUCGGCAUCGAGGAUAGAUGAAAGGUGGCCUCUACAUGUAAGCUAUCACUGAAGGAGGGGAUUGCGUCUGAUUAGCUAGUUGGAGGGGUAACGGCCCACCAAGGCGAUGAUCAGUAGCCGGUCUGAGAGGAUGAACGGCCACAUUGGGACUGAGACACGGCCCAGACUCCUACGGGAGGCAGCAGUGGGGAAUCUUCCGCAAUGGACGAAAGUCUGACGGAGCAACGCCGCGUGAGUGAUGACGGCCUUCGGGUUGUAAAGCUCUGUUAAUCGGGACGAAAGGCCUUCUUGCGAAUAGUGAGAAGGAUUGACGGUACCGGAAUAGAAAGCCCCGGCUCCCUACGUU